AACGCACGAGACCUGCGGACCUGCGGAGGGAUCAUUAAUGAGAAGCUGCCCCUCGUGGGUAGACCUCCCACCCCCUGUGAACUUACCUUUGUUGCUUUGGCAGGCCCGUCCUCUGGACCGCCGGCUUCGGCUGGCCCGUGCCUGCCAGAGGAUUCCAAACCCUGUCUGUCAGUGUUGUCUGAGUCUAUAUGAAAUCGUUAAAACUUUUAACAAUGGAUCUCUAGAUCGGAAGAGCACACG
RNAcentral lists this unclassified non-coding RNA (240 nucleotides) under soil metagenome. RNAcentral's name for it is "partial contains 5.8S ribosomal RNA, internal transcribed spacer 2, and large subunit ribosomal RNA". The record is from RNAcentral.